RNA transcript from Lathyrus oleraceus (garden pea), 2113 nucleotides. It is a transcript of the gene named hydroxyethylthiazole kinase, with no coding region annotated. The record is from RefSeq and is a predicted model, not a curated record. The transcript is spliced from 4 exons. Lineage: Eukaryota; Viridiplantae; Streptophyta; Magnoliopsida; Fabales; Fabaceae.
AACAAUUCAUUUGACUGAUUUCAGUCAUUGGAAAUUGAGAAGAAUCUCCAGAGAUCAAAGUCACCGUGUUAUCCUUUUUCGUUACGCUUUGAUGGAGGACAGCAACAAGAGGUUGGAAUGGGGAAAAAGAACAUGGAAACUACUUUCAGAAAUUCGAACUCAAUCACCGCUAAUUCAAUGCAUAACCAACUUCGUUUCAAUGGAUCUAAUGGCCAACACUCUCUUAUCCGCCGGCGCGUCUCCAGCAAUGGUUCAUUCCAUCCAAGAGAUUCCCGACUUCACCCCGCGCGUCAGUGCUCUGUGCAUCAACGUAGGUACACUCUCUCCCGAGUCUCUUCCCGCCAUGAUUACUGCCGCUAAGCUCUGCUCUCAGUUGGACAUCCCUUGGGUUCUUGAUCCCGUCGCUGUUUCUGCCUCGUCGUUCCGAUUCGAUGCUUGCGUCCAGCUUGUUAUACUCAAACCCACUGUUAUCAGAGGAAAUGCUUCUGAAAUCAUCGCUCUUUCUUCCUCCUAUGAAUCCUCCACCUCCAAGGGUGCAGAUAGUACUCAUGAUUCAAUGGAUGCGGUUGAAGCAGCAAAGUUGUUGGCUCAGAAAAGUGGUUCCGUAGUUGCAGUGUCAGGAGCUACUGACAUUGUCACAGAUGGUUAUCAAGUUGUUGGCGCUCACAAUGGGGUGGCGAUGAUGCAAAAAAUUACAGCAACGGGGUGUUCUGUCACUGCACUCAUUGCUGCCUUUGUUGCAGUUGACAAAAGCCAUGCUUUUGAUGCGGCAGUAUCGGCACUAGCUGUGUUUGGUGUUGCCGGCGAGUUAGGAAUGAAGAUGGCUAAAGGUCCUGCAUCGUUACGAAUGCACUUGAUUGAUGCUCUCUAUGGGCUUGACGAAGCUACUUUACAAUCUCAUGUUAAUAUCACAAGCUUGUGUUGAAGUCUGAAGAUCUUCAUGCAGUACUUGCACAUUUGACUUGUUCGAUUCAUGGGAUUACAAAUAAGAUUUCACAUACAAUUAUACGAUCAAAGUUGAAAACAUACAAAACCAAUCUCAUUUUCAUCUGUAAUUGAAAAGUAAAAACCACCCAGUCCUUUUUCCAUCUUUUACAGCACUGUUCUAGUAGGUCAAAUGGACACUGAUCCUCAGCAAUGUCUCAGCACCAUCAGUGGCAAUCUGUCCUGGUGGGAUAAGAGGUCUCAGUUCAGCAAACCCCCUUGCAUUCUUGAACUUUCCCGUGCCCCCUAUUACCGAUAAUCGUGACAUGGUGCUUCCUAUUUUAUACAAACCAUAAAAGUUCAAGCUAUCUCCAUAUUCCCCUCCUUCAAACAAAGCUGUGAAUACCAUCAUCUGUCUACUCCCAUCUGCUGAACUUGCCACAUACACACCUUGUGCUUUUCCAACUAUCUGGGAACCUAAUUCAGGUUGAGAUGAAGUACCAGCCAAACCAGUUCCUAACGGGAUACCGGUAACGCCAUUGACGGUGGGAAUAGCACCAUUGGCAUUAGGGAUGAGAGUCCCACCUGCCGGAGUGUUGAAUCCGAUCGGAGUUGCAAAGGGCACUUGACCACUGUAUAUAUUACCUAGCAAACCGGUUACGGGUCGGGCCGUUGGAUUACUUCCACCAAGAAUGUCAUGCAUGAAUAGCUCAAUAAUGGGUUCUUUCCCUGUGGCUGCAAUAGGGUCAACUGCUGUUAUAGAAAUUGUCAAAUGAGAAAAGGUUACCAACAAUGCCAAUGGAGCUAUAGCUAACAAUCCCAUAGCCAUCUUGCUUCCAAGUUUUUUAAAUGUAGAUGAUUAAUCUCUGUUUGGAUGAGUGCAAUGGAAUCAGUUUUGGGGUUAUAUAAGAGGGAAUGAAGAGUCUGUUGGAGUAGUUGAAGCAUGGAUCAGUUUUAUUAUCUUUAUUUCUUUUUUUCUAAAUGCUUUAGUUAUGACAAGUCAAAACAUGAGUGGUGGUGUAAGUACAACUAAACCAAAAUCUCAAGUCAAUUGGGUGAUAUUGUUAUUCCACAUUAUCAUUGUCCUUUCUUUGUUAAACUAUUUGAGGAUUUUCAAUUCAAGUCUCAUUUGUCAAAGAAAAUUAUAAAAGAAAUAUUUGAGCUUUAUUUAAUUAUAAUUUUCAUCUUA